RNAcentral lists this unclassified non-coding RNA (348 nucleotides) under soil metagenome. RNAcentral describes it as "partial contains 5.8S ribosomal RNA, internal transcribed spacer 2, and large subunit ribosomal RNA". The stretch from base 1 to 120 matches the Rfam family "5.8S ribosomal RNA", at positions 35 to 154 of the family's 154-position model. The record is from RNAcentral.
GAUGAAGAACGUAGCGAAAUGCGAUAAGUAAUGUGAAUUGCAGAAUUCAGUGAAUCAUCGAAUCUUUGAACGCACCUUGCGCUCUCUGGUAUUCCGGAGAGCAUGCCUGUUUGAGUAUCAUGAAAUCUCAACCAUUAGGGUUUCUUAAUGGCUUGGAUUUGGGCGUUGCCAGUUGCCUGGCUCGCCUUAAAAGAGUUAGCGUGUUUAACUUGUCAUAUCUGGCGUAAUAAGUUUCGCUGGUGUACGACUUGAGAAGUGCGCUUCUAAUCGUCCUCGGACAAUUCUUGAACUCUGGUCUCAAAUCAGGUAGGACUACCCGCUGAACUUAAGCAUAUCAAUAGCGGAGGA